This 1140-nucleotide long non-coding RNA is filed under the name Marmota monax (woodchuck). The record is from RNAcentral. Lineage: Eukaryota; Metazoa; Chordata; Mammalia; Rodentia; Sciuridae.
CUAAAAUUCUACAUUCUAUUAUUAGAAAGAUUUCACUUCUUUAAAAAAAAUUAGAUGACCUAAUGAGUUGGUAUUUCAAAGCAUUGCUGGGAACCCAAGAGAAUGAACAAACUGCUUUCCUAGGAGAUUCCAGACUUUGAGAUCUGGACAGGGACUUAAAGUCAUUCAGAGUCUUUGGAGAGAACAGCUUCACUAUGGUUCACUAUGUCACUUGGAAAGUGCACAUAAUCUCAGCCUAGACUUCAUUCCCUCUAGACUGUGAGUUCCUCAAAGAAACCAUUUAUCCUGAUGCCUUGCAAACAGUAGGUGAUCAAAGAGUGUUGGUAGAACGAACAAAGGAAAGAAUUAGGAUGAGUCUUCUAUGUCAUGGACAUGGAGAACAAAGCUCAGCCUGGUGAUGGUUUUGUUUCAAGGUCACACAGUAAAAAUAAAGACAAAGUUAAGAGAAAACCCUAGGACUUCUCAUACUAAAUUAUGUCAUGUUGACCCCCAAACAGCAAUAAAAAUAUCCACACUGAACCUUUUACUUCCUAUCCCUCCAUACCCACCCUAAUGUGGUAACGCAGAGAAAGUCCGAAUUCCCAUUAAAGUGAUGAAGGCCCUUGUCUUUCUGUGUUUCCGUUAGUACAAGAUGUGAAAGAAGCCCCUCUUUUGCCCACCUUUUCUCCCCCUUAAGCCUGGACCUUGGAGGGCAGCUACACUGUUGAGCAGCAGUAAUCUGUGGAGGUGUUGAGCAGAGAACUUGGGAGUUUAAGGACAAGCUGUGCUAGGGUUAGGUUGUUCUAGUUUCUCCUUCCUCCGUGCUUUUCUUUGCAUCACCAAUGAUGUUAUUUAUGGAAUGCCAGUAUGUUUCUUUUUUUAAUUAAAAGGAGAAAAAUAUCAGUCUUGCAUAAGAAAAAGAGUGAUGACUCAACAGGAUUGCUCAGUGCCAAACGAUUUUCUGUAAUCGCAUCUGUAGCAGUGUUUCUUGCAAAGGCAGGCUGUGGGGGGUGGGGGGUAGUGGUGAGAUUGCUCCCUGGGCUGCCCCUCUGUCCAUGAGGCUCAUUCCUAACACAGCCCAGGGUGCCUGACAGGUCCAUAGUCCUGAAUUCUGGCCUGGUGAAACUAAGCUGACCAGAUCUUGCUGAUUUUUGAGCAGAG